Molecule: ribosomal RNA, 253 nt
Filed under: uncultured bacterium
Lineage: Bacteria
Description: partial 16S ribosomal RNA
Rfam family: Bacterial small subunit ribosomal RNA
Source: RNAcentral
UACAGAGGUCUCAAGCGUUGUUCGGAUUCAUUGGGCGUAAAGGGUGCGUAGGUGGCGCUGUAAGUCGGGUGUGAAAUUUCGGAGCUUAACUCCGAAACUGCAUUCGAUACUGCGGUGCUUGAGGACUGGAGAGGAGACUGGAAUUCAUGGUGUAGCAGUGAAAUGCGUAGAGAUCAUGAGGAAGACCAGUAGCGAAGGCGGGUCUCUGGACAGUUCCUGACACUGAGGCACGAAGGCCAGGGGAGCAAACGGG